This 689-nucleotide ribosomal RNA is filed under the name Bathylaimus sp. TCR87. RNAcentral's name for it is "eukaryotic LSU rRNA". It matches the Rfam family "Eukaryotic large subunit ribosomal RNA", at positions 406 to 900 of the family's 3401-position model. Lineage: Eukaryota; Metazoa; Nematoda; Enoplea; Enoplida; Tripyloididae. The record is from RNAcentral.
CGCAUAGAAGUAACUUGGUGGACGGGAAAUGUCGCCAGUAGGAUUCAGCUCAUAACUAGUUGGCGCAGCGUGCUGUUGACCGUUGGAAGAUGGCUGCCGCGAGUUCGUUCCGCUAGUUUUGGGUGCACUUCCUAUUGGCGCACGCAAGGAUCGGUUGGUGUGUCGGCUGAUGUGGCUGGUAGUCGCUCCUGCCUUCGGGUUUGGAAACGUCCCAGCCGUCACGGCUCGAAUACAUCGACUGAGAUUUAAUCUGCCCGCUAUGUCACCUAUUAGGUGCCUUCUGUGGUGGCUGUUGGUUGUUCUACUGUAACAGGUAGACUUCCGAUGGUUUAUCGUUGAAUGGCAUUUUGUAUGGAGAUGGCAGAUAAGAUCAUUUGCGUCUGUGUCCCACACCCACCUAUAUCGUCUUGAAACACGAGCCGAGAAGUCUAACAGAAGCGCAAGUCAAUGGGUUUCAUACAAACCCCAAAGGCGAAAUGAAAGUAAAGUCGUGGCCUUGUGCUCGACGAGCUGAGAUCCAUGCCUUCGGGCGUGGCGCAUCAGCGUCCCGUCUCGUGAACCGCUUGCGGAUUCUGAGUCGGAGAUAGAGCGUUUCUGUUGGGACCCGAAAGAUGGUGAACUAUGCCUGUGUAGGAUGAAGCCAGAAGAAAUUCUGGUGGAAGUCCGUAGCGUUUUUGACGUGCAAAUCA